Molecule: long non-coding RNA, 1696 nt
Filed under: Setaria viridis
Lineage: Eukaryota; Viridiplantae; Streptophyta; Magnoliopsida; Poales; Poaceae
Description: long non-coding RNA (SVIR_LNC009494)
Source: RNAcentral
CGCCGUUCCCCAAUCUCUCCAUUCCAUCGCCACACCUACCUCGCCGCCGCCGCCCCGACCCGUAUCCCUUGCCGCCAUGGCCUCCCCGGCGCCGGCGCCCCCCGCAGCCGCCGCGACCCACUCCCCUCCCCCGCGCAUCGGGCUCGCCGGCCUCGCCACCAUGGGCCAGAACCUCGCGCUCAACAUCGCCGAGAAGGGGUUCCCGAUCUCCGUCUACAACCGCACCGCCGCCAAGGUGGACUCCACGCUCGUCCGCGCGCGCGACGAGGGCGCGCUCCCGGUGCUGGGCCACCGCGACCCGCGCGGGUUCGUGCUCUCCCUCGCCCGGCCCCGCACCGUCGUGCUCCUCGUCCAGGCGGGCCCCGCCGUCGACGCCACCAUCGACGCCCUCACCCCCUACCUCGAGCCCGGCGACGCCAUCGUCGACGGCGGCAACGAGUGGUACCAGAACACGGAGCGCCGCAUCGAGGAGGCCGCGGCGCGCGGGAUCCUGUACCUCGGGAUGGGGGUGUCCGGCGGGGAGGAAGGCGCGCGGAACGGGCCCUCGCUCAUGCCCGGCGGCCACGUCGACGCCUACAACAACAUCAGAGACAUCCUCGAGAAGGCUGCGGCACAGACGGAGGACGGGGCCUGCGUCACCUUCGUCGGGCCCGGUGGGGCUGGCAACUUCGUCAAGAUGGUGCACAAUGGUAUCGAGUAUGGCGAUAUGCAGCUCAUCGCAGAGGCCUACGAUGUGCUCCGCAGAGUCGGGGGCCUGUCGAAUUCGGAGAUUGCUGAUGUGUUUGAUGAGUGGAACAAGGGGGAGCUCGAGAGCUUCUUGGUUGAGAUCACCGCAGACAUUUUCACUGUGGCUGACCCACUGGAUGGGAGCGGCGGGGCGCUGGUUGACAAGAUUCUCGACAAGACUGGGAUGAAGGGGACUGGGAAAUGGACGGUGCAGCAGGCCGCAGAGCUAGCAGUGGCUGCACCCACCAUUGCUGCAUCGCUUGAUGGGAGGUACUUGUCAGGGUUGAAGGAUGAGCGAGUCGCAGCUGCUGGUGUGCUGGAGGAGGAGGGGAUGCCAGCCGGGCUGUUGGAAAAAAUCAAUGUUGAUAAGAAAGUGCUGGUGGAUAGGGUGAGGCAGGCGCUUUAUGCAUCGAAGAUUUGCAGCUAUGCGCAGGGCAUGAAUCUGAUACGAGCCAAGAGCGUGGAGAAGGGAUGGAACCUUAACCUUGCGGAGCUUGCCAGGAUCUGGAAGGGUGGGUGCAUUAUCCGUGCAAGGUUUCUUGAUAGGAUCAAGAGGGCAUACGACAGGAACCCUGAGCUCGCCAAUUUGAUUGUCGACAGAGAGUUUGCAAGGGAGAUGGUGCAGCGACAGAAUGCCUGGAGAUGGGUUGUAGCACGGGCAGUGGAGGCUGGCAUUAGCACUCCAGGAAUGACUGCUAGUCUUUCCUACUUUGACACCUACAGGUCCAGUAGGUUGCCUGCAAAUCUGAUCCAAGCGCAGAGGGACCUGUUUGGGGCACACACCUAUGAGCGAAUUGAUCGUCCGGGUUCAUUCCACACUGAAUGGACCAAGCUGGCAAGGAGGAGCAAUGGUGCAGCCAUUUGAGGACUUGGUAUCAGCAGUUCUGUCAGUUACUCUGGGUGAUGUCUCUUUGUGGGUUCUCUUUCAUUUCACUAUUGAUGUCUCUAUGAUCCUAGAUCUGAGUUGUGU